RNAcentral lists this ribosomal RNA (473 nucleotides) under uncultured organism. RNAcentral describes it as "partial 16S ribosomal RNA". It matches the Rfam family "Bacterial small subunit ribosomal RNA", at positions 332 to 797 of the family's 1533-position model. The record is from RNAcentral.
UACACUCCUACGGGAGGCAGCAGUGGGGAAUUUUGGACAAUGGGCGAAAGCCUGAUCCAGCAAUGCCGCGUGAGUGAAGAAGGCCUUCGGGUUGUAAAGCUCUUUUGUCAGGGAAGAAACGGUGAGAGCUAAUAUCUUUUGCUAAUGACGGUACCUGAAGAAUAAGCACCGGCUAACUACGUGCCAGCAGCCGCGGUAAUACGUAGGGUGCAAGCGUUAAUCGGAAUUACUGGGCGUAAAGCGUGCGCAGGCGGUUUUGUAAGUCUGAUGUGAAAUCCCCGGGCUCAACCUGGGAAUUGCAUUGGAGACUGCAAGGCUAGAAUCUGGCAGAGGGGGGUAGAAUUCCACGUGUAGCAGUGAAAUGCGUAGAUAUGUGGAGGAACACCGAUGGCGAAGGCAGCCCCCUGGGUCAAGAUUGACGCUCAUGCACGAAAGCGUGGGGAGCAAACAGGAUUAGAAACCCUAGUAGUCCC